Molecule: small RNA, 177 nt
Filed under: Arabidopsis thaliana (thale cress)
Lineage: Eukaryota; Viridiplantae; Streptophyta; Magnoliopsida; Brassicales; Brassicaceae
Description: ATSL245580
Source: RNAcentral
UUUGAUUCUCUGAAAAUCAGAUAGAAAUGCAUGACUAUGUAUGGUCGUGAGGUAAUAUUUCUUAGUUAUAAAGACAAAAUCAUAUAUAUGAAAGUUGGUCAACUCUCUAUAAGUGACACAUCAUCAUACAAGAAAAUGACAUGUGUCAUUCUAUAUUAAUUAAAUAAAAAAUUAAUA